AUUAAAAAUUGUAAUUAUUGCUGCAUUCAUGACAUGUCGGAACUAGGAAACUCUGACAUUUUUUGACUUGGAAACUCGUUUCUCGGAAUACGACUUUCCCGAAGUGGAUCCUUUGUUCGCACCACCCAGGACGUUGGAUCUAACCCCAGAGGCCGACCCAAAACAACGUCGCCACAGAAGAGGUAGACAGAGUGGCCUCCUGGUCAGGCUCCGUAGACGUGCACAUCACCCACCGCUUCCGAGUAUAUUACUCGCCAAUGACCAGUCUCUAGACGACAAGGUAGAUGGAAGGACACCUACACCACCCGAUGUCACAGGAAGGCCAAAAAUAUCAUCAAGGACAACAACCACCCGAGCCACUGCCUGUUCACCCCGCUAUCAUCCAGAAGGCGAGGGUGUCCCGGUACCCAGGGAAGACUGGUACUGGCCUAAACUGGUUGUUGAGGAGGAGGAGGGGGAGGAAGAGGAAGACAAGGUGGUGAAGGAGGAGGAGGAAGAAGACAAGGUGGAGGAGGAGGAUGAGUUAACUUCACUGGACAAGCUACACAUUCUGACAUCCUAUUUAAGAGGGGUCCAUUUUUACUGCAUAUGGUGUGGGACCGCUUACAAUGAUGAGGAGGAUCUGUGUUCUAAUUGUCCUGGAGACACAGCUGCAGAUCACGAUGACUGACCCGCUGCUGAAUAAUCUACAGAAGAGACUGGAGGCAUCGGCCAGUCGGAUUCAUUAACAUAUGGGGGAUUAUAAAUGGGAUCAGAGGCUGUAUGUAUGAAGCGUUUCUGUAGGAGUACGUGAUUUGGAUUUUUCUCUUUAGAUCACAAUGAAUACGGUUACAUGAACAGGGGGGGGGGGGGGGGCUGAUCCUAGAUCAACACUCCUAUUCUGAGCCGGUUGAUACAUAUAACAUCUGCCCCUGUAUGAUAUAUAGGUGAGGUUUGACCUAUAACGUGUGAAUUUGUAUUAUUUAUAAUGUAGACAGGACAUUUGAUGUAUUUUCUUCCUGAACAUGUUUUUGUUUUGUUUUUUUGUUUAAUAAAUGAAAACCACUUUUUUUUAUAUGAUUCAGAAACCAUGAAUUAAAAGGUUAUUUAGAUUAUAA
This is an RNA transcript of Salvelinus namaycush (lake trout), 1097 nucleotides long. It is a transcript of the gene named G patch domain-containing protein 11-like, with no coding region annotated. The record is from RefSeq and is a predicted model, not a curated record. Lineage: Eukaryota; Metazoa; Chordata; Actinopteri; Salmoniformes; Salmonidae. The transcript has 4 exons.